This is a long non-coding RNA of Exaiptasia diaphana, 1279 nucleotides long. RefSeq lists it as uncharacterized. NCBI's taxonomy places the organism in Eukaryota, Metazoa, Cnidaria, Anthozoa, Actiniaria, Aiptasiidae. The record is from RefSeq and is a predicted model, not a curated record. The transcript is spliced from 3 exons.
UCAUUAGUAUCUUUUGUUCAUUCAGGCAACAUGGCCGUCGGUCUUUUGUCUUUUGAAUCUCUUGGGAAUGUGAAGUAAUAGUUUCCUAAGAGUACCAACAUCGAAAGGCACGACUAAGACAUAGCAAAAUACUGACAACAUGGCCGCCGGUCUAACUUUUGUCUUUUGAAUGUCUUGGAAAUGAUUAAAACCGAGCAAUUGUGUCUGCCAUUCUUUAUUUAUUUACUGUGUAAACAUGCAGAGCUAUUAAUUAAAUCAGAUUUUUUUGUUUAAAUCAGGUUGAUUUGGGAAGCCAAAAAUAUGUUACAGGUGUUUCUGAUGUUGGAUAUAAAGGACAACGGUCAUAUUUACAAGAAUACACAGUCAUGUACUCAAACGAUACAAUCUCCUGGAACAAUUACACGGAAAACUCUAUAGUUAAGGUAUUUUCUGGCGCCAAGGAAGGCCGUAUUUUGAGACACUAUUUUACUAACAAGAUCACGUGUCGGUGGAUACAGUUUAAGAUCAAGAAGUGGUAUAGUAACUUUGGUGCCGGCUUUGAAAUCUAUGGAUGUGACAAAUGAUGAUUGCAAAGAUUUUGAACACAAGCCUUAAAGAUUCAUAAAUCAAUAUCAUGUUCCUCUUUGCGCAUGCGCAGUCUUACAACAGCACAACCACUGCAUGUUUACGGUUAAAUAAAUCUUCCAUUUGUUUCUCUUCUUCCCAUGAACCCCUUCAAGCGAGCAGAAUGGAAGAAAUGAGAAUAGUCAAAUUGAAAUAAAACACAGGUUUAUUGUUUUUCAUCAAAAGGAUGACGAUUCACUCUGGAAAAAAAUCGCGCACUUCAAAGGUUGAGAAUUUGAUGUAAAUAUGAUGUAAGUGUCCAAAAUAAAAUGAAUUUGUACGUAAUUUUUUCUAGUGAUUCUUAGGCUUUCCGUCGUUAAGAAUUGCUCUUACCUCCAUACUUGAUACAUAGAAGAACUUGACAAAGGUUUCUUUGUACUUGAUGUCAUUACAAUAUUUCUAGAUGAAUUUCUAAUGUAGAAUAUUGCGCAACAGAAGUGCAAUCUUUUUAUAAUCGUUUACUUACACUGUAAUGAUCGGUCCGCUUGUUGUCUAGCUUAUUGUUAAUUUACUAGGAUGAUUAUUGAUUAACAGAUUAACAUACUUAACUUUGUAACUUAUGUCCAGAAUUGACUAAAACGUCAAUAUAAUACCAUGCAAUUCGAUAUAAUGCUAUAUAGUUUACUCUCGUUUGUGUAAUUACAUUAUAUACAUUAUUAAAUUACAAUCAAUGAUA